RNAcentral lists this ribosomal RNA (253 nucleotides) under uncultured bacterium. RNAcentral's name for it is "partial 16S ribosomal RNA". It matches the Rfam family "Bacterial small subunit ribosomal RNA", at positions 524 to 776 of the family's 1533-position model. The record is from RNAcentral.
UACGUAGGUGGCAAGCGUUGUCCGGAUUUACUGGGCGUAAAGAGCGCGCAGGCGGUCGUACAAGUCGCGUGUGAAAGCCCCCGGCUCAACUGGGGAGGGUCACGCGAUACUGUUCGACUCGAAGGCAGGAGAGGGAAGCAGAAUUCCCGGUGUAGUGGUGAAAUGCGUAGAUAUCGGGAGGAAUACCAGUGGCGAAGGCGGCUUCCUGGCCUGUUCUUGACGCUGAGGCGCGAAAGCUAGGGGAGCAAACGGG